GUUCAGAGGAGGUUCUUCUGAGGCUGCUGCCAGUGGUCAAAGCCUCCAACAAAGCUCUACUCAGUGGCUGUAACCUGUCAGACAGAAGCUGUGAAGCUCUGUCCUCAGUUCUCAGAUCCCAGUCCUGCAGUCUGAUACAUCUGGAUCUAAGCAACAAUGACCUGAAGGAUUCAGGAGUGAAGAUCCUGUCAGAUGGACUGAAGAGUCCAGGAUGCAGACUGGACACUCUCAGAUUGUCAGGAUGUCUGAUCACAGAGGAAGGAUGUU
This is a long non-coding RNA of Sphaeramia orbicularis (orbiculate cardinalfish), 267 nucleotides long. RefSeq lists it as uncharacterized. The record is from RefSeq and is a predicted model, not a curated record. The transcript is spliced from 3 exons. Lineage: Eukaryota; Metazoa; Chordata; Actinopteri; Kurtiformes; Apogonidae.